Molecule: ribosomal RNA, 510 nt
Filed under: Curtobacterium sp.
Lineage: Bacteria; Bacillati; Actinomycetota; Actinomycetes; Micrococcales; Microbacteriaceae
Description: bacterial SSU rRNA
Rfam family: Bacterial small subunit ribosomal RNA
Source: RNAcentral
UUGUCGCGUCUGCUGUGAAAUCCCGAGGCUCAACCUCGGGCUUGCAGUGGGUACGGGCAGACUAGAGUGCGGUAGGGGAGAUUGGAAUUCCUGGUGUAGCGGUGGAAUGCGCAGAUAUCAGGAGGAACACCGAUGGCGAAGGCAGAUCUCUGGGCCGUAACUGACGCUGAGGAGCGAAAGCAUGGGGAGCGAACAGGAUUAGAUACCCUGGUAGUCCAUGCCGUAAACGUUGGGCGCUAGAUGUAGGGACCUUUCCACGGUUUCUGUGUCGUAGCUAACGCAUUAAGCGCCCCGCCUGGGGAGUACGGCCGCAAGGCUAAAACUCAAAGGAAUUGACGGGGGCCCGCACAAGCGGCGGAGCAUGCGGAUUAAUUCGAUGCAACGCGAAGAACCUUACCAAGGCUUGACAUACACCGGAAACGGCCAGAGAUGGUCGCCCCCUUGUGGUCGGUGUACAGGUGGUGCAUGGUUGUCGUCAGCUCGUGUCGUGAGAUGUUGGGUUAAGUCCCG